GUGAGGAAUAUUGGUCAAUGGGCGAGAGCCUGAACCAGCCAAGUCGCGUGAAGGAUGAAGGUUUUAUGAAUUGUAAACUUCUUUUGCAGGGGAAUAAAGUACGGUACGUGUACCGUUUUGUAUGUACUCUGCGAAUAAGGAUCGGCUAACUCCGUGCCAGCAGCCGCGGUAAUACGGAGGAUCCAAGCGUUAUCCGGAUUUAUUGGGGUUAAAGGGUGCGCAGGCGGGUUGAUAAGUCAGCGGUGAAAGUUUGCAGCUUAACUGUAAAAUUGCCAUUCAAACUGUCGAUCUUGAGUGCAAAUGAGGUAAGCGGAAUGUGUUGUGUAGCGGUGAAAUGCUUAGAUAUAACACAGAACACCGAUUGCGAAGGCAGCUUACUGGGAUGCAACUGACGCUCAUGCACGAAAGCGUGGGGAUCAAACAGGAUUAGAAACCCCGGUAGUCC
This 445-nucleotide ribosomal RNA is filed under the name uncultured bacterium. Its description in RNAcentral is "partial 16S ribosomal RNA". It matches the Rfam family "Bacterial small subunit ribosomal RNA", at positions 354 to 796 of the family's 1533-position model. The record is from RNAcentral.